This 1989-nucleotide long non-coding RNA is filed under the name Heterocephalus glaber (naked mole-rat). Its description in RNAcentral is "lncRNA (ENSHGLG00000032451.1)". The record is from RNAcentral. Lineage: Eukaryota; Metazoa; Chordata; Mammalia; Rodentia; Bathyergidae.
CUUUGACAUAACAUUUGCAUAGAAGACAUACUUGGUUAAUGUAAAAUGCAUAGUUAUUUGAAGUGUGAAAAGCGGAUACAAAAGAUGUGGCUGAGUGCACUUCCUUCUCAUCCACCAAGCCAUACUUUGGACUAACUAUGGUUCCAAGCAGAGAGACCAGCAAUAGUGAAAUAGUAAAGGCUCAAAGCAGGACCUUGUGUGGCUCUUCCAGGAGCAGCAGAAGGCCAGCUUGGCUAGAACAUGAAGAAACAGAAAAUGAACAGAAAAUUUCUGGAACCGAAUCACUUCUAGAAAUAUUGGGAGUUUCUUGGAUAUUUAAGCUGCAGCUCUGAAACUUACCUGCUAUGUUUUUGGCCCAAAGGCAAUUCUUCAUUAAGUCUUCAGUGUGCAGUGACCCUCUCUGGAUUCUAGUCUGCCUCCUAUUUCAAACUUUGCCACAGUAAGAGAGUUCAGAUAGCAAAGCCACAAAGUGUUAAUAUGAGAUAACCUGGGAGCUUCAGAGAGAGGAAAAGUAAGAAACUUCUUGAUUAGAGAUUGGAACAGGCAAUCAUGUAGAGAACAUUUGGUUGUGAAGAACCAACAGGCAGAGACUUUUCAGCCAUUAUGACAAGCUGCUUUCUUCACAGUUGCUAAGACAACUUCUUGGCUAAAAGAUUUGAAAGGCCUUUGCUGCUAGAUAGACCACUAGGUAAUCUGCUUCAUUGCUUAUUCAUUUAUUUUUCCACUCAUUCAUGUCCUCCAUAACUUAUUCAAUCAGCUCUUUAAGAAUGAUUUUAUUUUGAACAGUAUAAAAAAGUGUUUCCAAUAAUUUAAUGAAUGUUCAAAUUUCCUGGAAAUCUUACAGAAAAGUGGCUUCUAAUUCACAUACUGUAAUUUAACCAAGCUCUCAAUUGAUGAUGACGCCACUUCUGCACGGUAUGAGAAAUGGAACUAAUUUCAUUUCUCUUUUUCCUAAAUUAGUGGUUCUCAAGCUUGUUAGAAAAAUGCAAAUUCUUUGACUCAGGCCAAACUUACUGAAUCUUAGAGUGAGAUCCAGUAUCUCAUAUGUUAUCAAGACCUCCCAUAGAGGUGAUGCAUAUUCACAUUUCAGAACCAGGAAGUGUAGACUCACUUGGAGAGUUUGGAGGUUAAAUUGUGUUCUGAAAAAAAGAUGUGUUAAAGUGCUAAACUUAAAGAUACCUGUGAACAUGCUAUUGUUUGGAAGUAGAAACUGCAGAUAUAAUCAAGCUAAGAUGAGUUCAUACUGAAUAAAGGUGGCUCCUAUAUCCAAUGACUGUUGUCUUUGCAAGGACAAUGGGAUUUUGAUAGACACAGAUGUCUUGAGAUAUGAAGAAGUUCAUGUGACAAAGGAGGCAUAAACUGGAGUGAUGGUGGUCUAAAUGAGGGAAUGCUAAGGAUUGCUAGCCACCACCAGGAGUUGAGAAAGAAGCAUGAGUCUUCCCCACAGACUCUUGAGUGAAUAGAAACCUACCAAAACCAUUAAUUUAGAUGUUUAACCUUCAAAAUUGUGACACAAUACAUUUCAGUUAUUUUUAAAGAAAUAAAUUUGAGGUAGUUUGUCAUGGCAGCCCAGGAAACUAAUAUAGACCUUUGCAAAACUAAACUAAACCAAAACAAAACAAAACACCAUGGUGCUUACUCAAUCAAAUCAGAAUUCCUGAGGAUAGUGUCCCUAUGUGUGAUUUAGAAAUCUCCCUCAGGGAAUUUCAACAUUUAGUCAAAAUAUACAACUCUACACAUUUUUAGACAUGGUUAGACUGUUUAUAGUCUAUUUUGCAAUAAAUCAAAGUGCCAGAAGCAGUUGAAUAUCAUUAUAAUUACGUCUAUGUUUUGUAUAAAAAUCAGUUACUUAGGAAUUAUAUUAUGACAGUAUUUCUCAGACUUUUCUUAGGGUUGGAGUCACCUGCAGUUAAUGUUUAGUAGAAAUGCAGAAUCCUGGGACCACCCUAGCCCUAGUGAGUCAAAGACAGCAUUUAAACAAUUUCCUUG